GGCUCCAGAAUGUUGUGGUUAGUACAUCUGCUUUACACACAGGAGAUCCUGGGUUCAUGCCCCAGGUGGAGCCA
This 74-nucleotide transfer RNA is filed under the name Pteropus alecto (black flying fox). It matches the Rfam family "tRNA". Rfam says of the family: Transfer RNA (tRNA) molecules are approximately 80 nucleotides in length. Their secondary structure includes four short double-helical elements and three loops (D, anti-codon, and T loops). The record is from Rfam by way of RNAcentral. Lineage: Eukaryota; Metazoa; Chordata; Mammalia; Chiroptera; Pteropodidae.